AAUGCCUUUAAAUUCGGUCCCGUGAGGCUGAGAAGGAACGUGUAUAUAAUGGGCAGCUCGUUUGUCGUGCCCGUUUAAGGAGAAAUGCACCCUCUCGCCGCAUUGGCAAGAGGGUUUUUCUAU
Bacillus sp. VT-16-64 is the source of this 123-nucleotide non-coding RNA. NCBI's taxonomy places the organism in Bacteria, Bacillati, Bacillota, Bacilli, Caryophanales, Bacillaceae. The record is from Rfam.